This 497-nucleotide ribosomal RNA is filed under the name uncultured bacterium. RNAcentral describes it as "partial 16S ribosomal RNA". It matches the Rfam family "Bacterial small subunit ribosomal RNA", at positions 29 to 507 of the family's 1533-position model. The record is from RNAcentral.
AAUGAACGCUGGCGGCGUGCCUAAUACAUGCAAGUCGAGCGAACACACGAUGAGCGUUUUCCUUUACCGGUAGCGACUGACGGGCGGGUAACACGUACAUAACCUUCUUAUAUUUCUGGGAUAACAUCGUGAAACAGCAGCCACUACCAGCGCAUAUGUCGAACGGCAUGAAUCAAGAGUGAUUGAGGGCUUUGCUGUCUCAUUUAGACGGUUUCGCGCCGCAUUAGCUAGUUGGUAAGGUAACGGCCUACCAAGGCAACGAUGCGUAGCCGACCUGAGAGGGUGAUCGGCCACACUGGAACUGAGACACGGUCCAGACUCCUACGGGAGGCAGCAGUAGGGAAUCUUCCGCAAUGGGCGAAAGCCUGACGGAGCAACGCCGCGUGAGUGAUGAAGGUCUUCGGAUCGUAAAACUCUGUUAUUAGGGAAGAACAAAUGUGUAAGUAACUAUGCACGUCUUGACGGUACCUAAUCAGAAAGCCACGGCUAACUACGUG